This 492-nucleotide ribosomal RNA is filed under the name uncultured bacterium. RNAcentral's name for it is "partial 16S ribosomal RNA". It matches the Rfam family "Bacterial small subunit ribosomal RNA", at positions 29 to 507 of the family's 1533-position model. The record is from RNAcentral.
AGUGAACGCUGGCGGUAGGCCUAACACAUGCAAGUCGAACGGCAGCACAGUAAGAGCUUGCUCUUACGGGUGGCGAGUGGCGGACGGGUGAGGAAUACAUCGGAAUCUACUUUUUCGUGGGGGAUAACGUAGGGAAACUUACGCUAAUACCGCAUACGACCUACGGGUGAAAGCAGGGGAUCUUCGGACCUUGCGCGAGUGAAUGAGCCUAUGUCGGAUUAGCUAGUUGGCGGGGUAAAGGCCCACCAAGGCGACGAUCCGUAGCUGGUCUGAGAGGAUGAUCAGCCACACUGGAACUGAGACACGGUCCAGACUCCUACGGGAGGCAGCAGUGGGGAAUAUUGGACAAUGGGCGCAAGCCUGAUCCAGCCAUACCGCGUGAGUGAAGAAGGCCUUCGGGUUGUAAAGCCCUUUUGUUGGGAAAGAAAAGCAGCAGGUUAAUACCCCGCUGUUCUGACGGUACCCAAAGAAUAAGCACCGGCUAACUUCGUG